GACGAACGCUGGCGGCGUGCUUAACACAUGCAAGUCGAACGGUAAGGCCCUUCGGGGUACACGAGUGGCGAACGGGUGAGUAACACGUGGGUGAUCUGCCCUGCACUUCGGGAUAAGCCUGGGAAACUGGGUCUAAUACCGGAUAGGACUACUGCCUGCAUGGGUGGUGGUGGAAAGCUUUUGCGGUGUGGGAUGGGCCCGCGGCCUAUCAGCUUGUUGGUGGGGUGAUGGCCUACCAAGGCGACGACGGGUAGCCGGCCUGAGAGGGUGACCGGCCACACUGGGACUGGGCUGCGGCCCAGACUCCUACGGGAGGCAGCAGUGGGGAAUAUUGCACAAUGGGCGCAAGCCUGAUGCAGCGACGCCGCGUGAGGGAUGACGGCCUUCGGGUUGUAAACCUCUUUCAGCACCGACGAAGCGCAAGUGACGGUAGGUGCAGAAGAAGGACCGGCCAACUACGUGCCAGCCGCCGCCGUAA
This 478-nucleotide ribosomal RNA is filed under the name uncultured bacterium. Its description in RNAcentral is "partial 16S ribosomal RNA". It matches the Rfam family "Bacterial small subunit ribosomal RNA", at positions 28 to 523 of the family's 1533-position model. The record is from RNAcentral.